This 468-nucleotide ribosomal RNA is filed under the name uncultured bacterium. RNAcentral describes it as "partial 16S ribosomal RNA". It matches the Rfam family "Bacterial small subunit ribosomal RNA", at positions 28 to 507 of the family's 1533-position model. The record is from RNAcentral.
GACGAACGCUGGCGGCGUGCUUAACACAUGCAAGUCGAACGGAAAGGCCCUGCGUUUGUGGGGUGCUCGAGUGGCGAACGGGUGCGUAACACGUGAGUAACGUGCCCUUGACUUUGGGAUAAGUUUAGGAAACGGGGGCUAAUACCGGAUAGGAGCUCCUGCUGCAUGGAGGGGGUUGGAAAGUGCCGGCGGGUGGGGAUGGACUCGCGGCUUAUCAGCUUGUUGGUGGGGUAGUGGCUUACCAAGGCUUUGACGGGUAGCCGGCCUGGGAGGGUGACCGGCCACAUUGCGACUGCGAGACGGACCAGAAGCCUACGGGAGGCAGUAGUCGGGAAUAUUGCACAAUGGGCGGGAGCCUGAUGCAGCAACGCCGCGUGCGUGAUGACGGCCUUCGGGUUGUAAACCGCUUUCGCCUGUGACGAAGCGUGAGUGACGGUAAUGGGUAAAGAAGCAACGGCUAACUACGUG